GACGAACGCUGGCGGCGUGCUUAACACAUGCAAGUCGAACGGUAAGGCCCUUCGGGGUACACGAGUGGCGAACGGGUGAGUAACACGUGGGUGAUCUGCCCUGCACUUCGGGAUAAGCCUGGGAAACUGGGUCUAAUACCGGAUAUGACCCUGGGAUGCAUGUCCUGGGGUGGAAAGCUUUUGCGGUGUGGGAUGGGCCCGCGGCCUAUCAGCUUGUUGGCGGGGUGAUGGCCUACCAAGGCGACGACGGGUAGCCGGCCUGAGAGGGUGACCGGCCACACUGGGACUGAGAUACGGCCCAGACUCCUACGGGAGGCAGCAGUGGGGAAUAUUGCACAAUGGGCGCAAGCCUGAUGCAGCGACGCCGCGUGAGGGAUGACGGCCUUCGGGUUGUAAACCUCUUUCAGCACCGACGAAGCGCAAGUGACGGUAGGUGCAGAAGAAGGACCGGCCAACUACGUGCCAGCAGCCGCAGUAA
RNAcentral lists this ribosomal RNA (478 nucleotides) under uncultured bacterium. Its description in RNAcentral is "partial 16S ribosomal RNA". It matches the Rfam family "Bacterial small subunit ribosomal RNA", at positions 28 to 523 of the family's 1533-position model. The record is from RNAcentral.